GAUGAACGCUGGCGGCGUGCCUAAUACAUGCAAGUCGAGCGAACGGACGAGAAGCUUGCUUCUCUGAUGUUAGCGGCGGACGGGUGAGUAACACGUGGAUAACCUACCUAUAAGACUGGGAUAACUUCGGGAAACCGAAGUUAAUACCGGAUAAUAUUUUGAACCGCAUGGUUCAAAAGUGAAAGACGGCUUGGCUGUCACUAAUAGAUGGUCCGCGCUGGAUUAGCUAGUUGGUAAGGUAACGGCUUACCAAGGCAACGAUGCAUAGCCGACCUGAGAGGGUGAUCGGCCACACUGGAACUGAGACACGGUCCAGACUCCUACGGGAGGCAGCAGUAGGGAAUCUUCCGCAAUGGGCGAAAGCCUGACGGAGCAACGCCGCGUGAGUGAUGAAGGUCUUCGGAUCGUAAAACUCUGUUAUUAGGGAAGAACAUAUGUGUAAGUAACUGUGCACAUCUUGACGGUACCUAAUCAGAAAGCCACGGCUAACUACGUG
Molecule: ribosomal RNA, 496 nt
Filed under: uncultured bacterium
Lineage: Bacteria
Description: partial 16S ribosomal RNA
Rfam family: Bacterial small subunit ribosomal RNA
Source: RNAcentral